Molecule: unclassified non-coding RNA, 1945 nt
Filed under: Polistes fuscatus (common paper wasp)
Lineage: Eukaryota; Metazoa; Arthropoda; Insecta; Hymenoptera; Vespidae
Description: probable cytochrome P450 313a3, transcript variant X3
Source: RNAcentral
UCUGUUAAGACACGAAAGAUACAAAAAGUCGCUGCGGAGUGUCAAUAUCAUAUCUGUUCCUUACUUACAAGAGGAGGUCCAGUAGUAUUUUAAAACUAUUUUAAAUUGUUUUAUAAUUUUUAAUUUGUGUAACUAAACAUGUUUUCUAUUACUAAAGUUAUUACUCCAAUAGUAAUAAUAAUUUUGUUAUUUUGUAUAAUUGAAUAUAUAAUAAAUAAAUUUCGCGAAUAUAAUAUGGUAAAAAAAUGUUCUGGACCAAAAGUAUAUCCUUUGAUCGGAAACUUAAAUAUGUUUCUUGGUUAUUUAAAAGAUAUUGUGGUUAGGCCCUAAAUUUGUCCUAAUCUUCGGUGAUCCUGAAAGUAUUGAGAAUCUAUCAAAAAGUUCUAACGAUUAUGAAAAAAGUAUUGCAUAUGACUUUGUAAAAAUUCUUGUGGGUAAUGGAUUGUUUACUGCACCAGAGCGAUGGACAUAACUUUACAAAGAGCAUUAAAAUUCUGGUUACAUCUAAAUAAUAUAUUUAACAAUUCAUCUAUGGAAAAACGGCUACAAGAACAUCUUUCACACAUUAAAAAAAUAACGAGCGAGAUUAUAAGGAAAAAGAAGGAGUCAAUGCACAAAGAUAACUUUACUCGGGAAGGAAAAGGUCCAUAUGCAAGAAAAGAUGCCAGUUCAUUUCUAGACGCCAUGUUAAAAACGCUUUACAAGACCGGAGAAUAUUCGGAGAUGAAAUAUUCAUGAUGAAAUAAAUACAAUGGUUUUUGCAGAUCAAAUAUACGAAGAGUUGUACGAUUUGUACGUCUCAAACGAUCCGAAAGAUGUUUUUAUUACAAUGGAAGAUACUAAGAAAAUGAAAUAUUUGGAUCGAGUCAUCAACAAAUUUUUAUGUCUUUUUCCUCCAACACCAUUUAUUGCAUGCAAACUAUUUAGGGAUACGAAAGUGGACGCCAAUGUGAUAAUACCAAAAAAUUGUCGUGUGGUUGUUGCAAUAUUUUCACUUCACCGAAAGGAUAAAUAUUGGAAUGAUCCUUUAAGAUUUAACCCGGAUAGGUUCCUCCCGGGAAAUUAUAACCCGAAAUGUUUCAUUUCGUUCAUCGUUCAGCUUCGGGAAAAGAAGAUUCAUAGAUCAAAUAUUUGGCAUGACCCAAAUGAAGGCAAUAGCUGCUAGUCUAUUUAGAAAUUUUAUUGUACGUAUAGACGAUCCAUUAUCAGUUGAAAAUACUAACUUAAAAUUCAGAAUAACUUUGCAACCAGUGAAACCUAGUUUUUUGAGAUUGACAAUUUUUUACCAUAUAUAUGAAAUAGAAAUGUACAUUUUAAAUCACCAAGAAACAUAUUUAGGUUUCUGAUCAAAGGAUAUACUUUUGGUCCAGAACAUUUUUUUACCAUAUUAUAUUCGCGAAAUUUAUUUAUUAUAUAUUCAAUUAUACAAAAUAACAAAAUUAUUAUUACUAUUGGAGUAAUAACUUUAGUAAUAGAAAACAUGUUUAGUUAAACAAAUUAAAAAUUAUAAAACUAGUUAAAAUAGUUUUAAAGUACUACUGGACCUCCUCUUGUAAGUAAGGAACAGAUAUGAUGUUGACACUCCGCAGCGAUUUUUUGUAUCUUUCGUGUCUUAACAGAAACUAGGAAAGAAUCAUCAAAUGGGGAGCUUAUUUAAGAAAUACCAACAUCGUACUUUUUCAUGCGUCAAGGAUAACGUCAACACGUGUAGACAAAAUUAGAUAAUAAGCUGUAUUUUAUCAAUUCAGUUAUUCCAUGUGUUAUAAUAUUACUUUGCAAAUUCGCAAUCUAUGUAGUUUUUUACAUAAGAACAAGUUAAUCGAUGGUAUAAACAUAGUUUCUUCUUAAAGAAAUCUUGUUUUCUUCCCUUCCCUCUAUUCGACUUUGUAUUAUGCUAAUAAAUAAUUGUAAUUGUAAAAAAUUAAUAAAUAAUUGUAGAAAAUUG